GGGUUGUGAGGUUAAGCGACUAAGCGUACACGGUGGAUGCCCUGGCAGUCAGAGGCGAUGAAGGACGUGCUAAUCUGCGAUAAGCGUCGGUAAGGUGAUAUGAACCGUUAUAACCGGCGAUUUCCGAAUGGGGAAACCCAGUGUGUUUCGACACACUAUCAUUAACUGAAUCCAUAGGUUAAUGAGGCGAACCGGGGGAACUGAAACAUCUAAGUACCCCGAGGAAAAGAAAUCAACCGAGAUUCCCCCAGUAGCGGCGAGCGAACGGGGAGCAGCCCAGAGCCUGAAUCAGUGUGUGUGUUAGUGGAAGCGUCUGGAAAGGCGCGCGAUACAGGGUGACAGCCCCGUACACAAAAAUGCACAUACUGUGAGCUCGAUGAGUAGGGCGGGACACGUGGUAUCCUGUCUGAAUAUGGGGGGACCAUCCUCCAAGGCUAAAUACUCCUGACUGACCGAUAGUGAACCAGUACCGUGAGGGAAAGGCGAAAAGAACCCCGGCGAGGGGAGUGAAAAAGAACCUGAAACCGUGUACGUACAAGCAGUGGGAGCACGCUUCGGCGUGUGACUGCGUACCUUUUGUAUAAUGGGUCAGCGACUUAUAUUCUGUAGCAAGGUUAACCGAAUAGGGGAGCCGAAGGGAAACCGAGUCUUAACUGGGCGUUAAGUUGCAGGGUAUAGACCCGAAACCCGGUGAUCUAGCCAUGGGCAGGUUGAAGGUUGGGUAACACUAACUGGAGGACCGAACCGACUAAUGUUGAAAAAUUAGCGGAUGACUUGUGGCUGGGGGUGAAAGGCCAAUCAAACCGGGAGAUAGCUGGUUCUCCCCGAAAGCUAUUUAGGUAGCGCCUCGUGAAUUCAUCUCCGGGGGUAGAGCACUGUUUCGGCAAGGGGGUCAUCCCGACUUACCAACCCGAUGCAAACUGCGAAUACCGGAGAAUGUUAUCACGGGAGACACACGGCGGGUGCUAACGUCCGUCGUGAAGAGGGAAACAACCCAGACCGCCAGCUAAGGUCCCAAAGUCAUGGUUAAGUGGGAAACGAUGUGGGAAGGCCCAGACAGCCAGGAUGUUGGCUUAGAAGCAGCCAUCAUUUAAAGAAAGCGUAAUAGCUCACUGGUCGAGUCGGCCUGCGCGGAAGAUGUAACGGGGCUAAACCAUGCACCGAAGCUGCGGCAGCGACACUAUGUGUUGUUGGGUAGGGGAGCGUUCUGUAAGCCUGUGAAGGUGUGCUGUGAGGCAUGCUGGAGGUAUCAGAAGUGCGAAUGCUGACAUAAGUAACGAUAAAGCGGGUGAAAAGCCCGCUCGCCGGAAGACCAAGGGUUCCUGUCCAACGUUAAUCGGGGCAGGGUGAGUCGACCCCUAAGGCGAGGCCGAAAGGCGUAGUCGAUGGGAAACAGGUUAAUAUUCCUGUACUUGGUGUUACUGCGAAGGGGGGACGGAGAAGGCUAUGUUGGCCGGGCGACGGUUGUCCCGGUUUAAGCGUGUAGGCUGGUUUUCCAGGCAAAUCCGGAAAAUCAAGGCUGAGGCGUGAUGACGAGGCACUACGGUGCUGAAGCAACAAAUGCCCUGCUUCCAGGAAAAGCCUCUAAGCAUCAGGUAACAUUAAAUCGUACCCCAAACCGACACAGGUGGUCAGGUAGAGAAUACCAAGGCGCUUGAGAGAACUCGGGUGAAGGAACUAGGCAAAAUGGUGCCGUAACUUCGGGAGAAGGCACGCUGAUAUGUAGGUGAAGUCCCUCGCGGAUGGAGCUGAAAUCAGUCGAAGAUACCAGCUGGCUGCAACUGUUUAUUAAAAACACAGCACUGUGCAAACACGAAAGUGGACGUAUACGGUGUGACGCCUGCCCGGUGCCGGAAGGUUAAUUGAUGGGGUUAGCGGUAACGCGAAGCUCUUGAUCGAAGCCCCGGUAAACGGCGGCCGUAACUAUAACGGUCCUAAGGUAGCGAAAUUCCUUGUCGGGUAAGUUCCGACCUGCACGAAUGGCGUAAUGAUGGCCAGGCUGUCUCCACCCGAGACUCAGUGAAAUUGAACUCGCUGUGAAGAUGCAGUGUACCCGCGGCAAGACGGAAAGACCCCGUGAACCUUUACUAUAGCUUGACACUGAACAUUGAGCCUUGAUGUGUAGGAUAGGUGGGAGGCUUUGAAGUGUGGACGCCAGUCUGCAUGGAGCCGACCUUGAAAUACCACCCUUUAAUGUUUGAUGUUCUAACGUUGACCCGUGAUCCGGGUUGCGGACAGUGUCUGGUGGGUAGUUUGACUGGGGCGGUCUCCUCCUAAAGAGUAACGGAGGAGCACGAAGGUUGGCUAAUCCUGGUCGGACAUCAGGAGGUUAGUGCAAUGGCAUAAGCCAGCUUGACUGCGAGCGUGACGGCGCGAGCAGGUGCGAAAGCAGGUCAUAGUGAUCCGGUGGUUCUGAAUGGAAGGGCCAUCGCUCAACGGAUAAAAGGUACUCCGGGGAUAACAGGCUGAUACCGCCCAAGAGUUCAUAUCGACGGCGGUGUUUGGCACCUCGAUGUCGGCUCAUCACAUCCUGGGGCUGAAGUAGGUCCCAAGGGUAUGGCUGUUCGCCAUUUAAAGUGGUACGCGAGCUGGGUUUAGAACGUCGUGAGACAGUUCGGUCCCUAUCUGCCGUGGGCGCUGGAGAACUGAGGGGGGCUGCUCCUAGUACGAGAGGACCGGAGUGGACGCAUCACUGGUGUUCGGGUUGUCAUGCCAAUGGCACUGCCCGGUAGCUAAAUGCGGAAGAGAUAAGUGCUGAAAGCAUCUAAGCACGAAACUUGCCCCGAGAUGAGUUCUCCCUGACUCCUUGAGAGUCCUGAAGGAACGUUGAAGACGACGACGUUGAUAGGCCGGGUGUGUAAGCGCAGCGAUGCGUUGAGCUAACCGGUACUAAUGAACCGUGAGGCUUAACCUUACAACGCCGAAGGUGUUU
Molecule: ribosomal RNA, 2932 nt
Filed under: Escherichia coli
Lineage: Bacteria; Pseudomonadati; Pseudomonadota; Gammaproteobacteria; Enterobacterales; Enterobacteriaceae
Description: 23S ribosomal RNA
Rfam family: Bacterial large subunit ribosomal RNA
Source: RNAcentral